This 433-nucleotide ribosomal RNA is filed under the name uncultured bacterium. Its description in RNAcentral is "partial 16S ribosomal RNA". It matches the Rfam family "Bacterial small subunit ribosomal RNA", at positions 29 to 507 of the family's 1533-position model. The record is from RNAcentral.
AACGAACGCUGGCGGCAUGCCUAACACAUGCAAGUCGAACGAGACCUUCGGGUUCAGUGGCGCACGGGUGCGUAACGCGUGGGAACCUGCCCUUAGGUUCGGAAUAACUCCCCGAAAGGGGUGCUAAUACCCGGUAAUGUCUUCGGUCCAAAGAUUUAUCGCCUUUGGAUGGGCCCGCGUUGGAUUAGCUAGUUGGUAGGGUAAAAGCCUACCAAGGCGACGAUCCAUAGCUGGUCUGAGAGGAUGAUCAGCCACACUGGGACUGAGACACGGCCCAGACUCCUACGGGAGGCAGCAGUGGGGAAUAUUGGACAAUGGGCGAAAGCCUGAUCCAGCAAUGCCGCGUGAGUGAUGAAGGCCUUAGGGUUGUAAAGCUCUUUUACCCGGGAUGAUAAUGACAGUACCGGGAGAAUAAGCUCCGGCUAACUCCGUG